RNAcentral lists this ribosomal RNA (434 nucleotides) under Streptostele cf. elgonensis 'Nabugabo'. RNAcentral's name for it is "partial 16S ribosomal RNA". Lineage: Eukaryota; Metazoa; Mollusca; Gastropoda; Stylommatophora; Streptaxidae. The record is from RNAcentral.
AGCUUUAUGUAAUUAUAUAAAGUUUAUUCUGCCCUAUGAAAUUUUAAAUGGCCGCAGUACCUUGACUGUGCUAAGGUAGCAUAAUAAUUUGGCUUUUAAUUAAAGUCUAGAAUGAAAGAAAAAAUGGGAUAAAACUGUUUUUAUAUAAAAUUUAGAAUUUUUUUAAAAGGUGAAAAUACCUUUUUGUAUAAAAAAGACGAGAAGACCCUUAGAGUUUUUAUAAUAGUUAAAUAAUAAAAUUAUUUUUGUUGGGGUGACAGGUUAACAUAAAAUUUUUAAUUUAAUUUUUUUUACAAGUGAUAAUAGUUGAAAGAAAAAACUACCUAAGGGAUAACAGCAUAAUCUUUAAAAAUAGGAUUGUGACCUCGAUGUUGGACUAGGAACCAUAUGGUUAGAAACUAAAAUGGAAAGUUCUGUUCGAACUAAAAUUUCCU